GAAGGGGCGUAGCGGAGCGGGUAAGGCAAAAAGAAAAUAGAAUCAAGUUGAUUCUUAGCAUCGUAGAUUGCAUGGUAUUCAAUCGAAAACCUCUCUGAGCUAAGAGAAUGAAAGGGGGCUUCACUUCAGUCUCAGAUGUCUAUUCACAAGUACUUUCUCGAAAGGAAUCCCCGCUUUUUUUUCAAGGAAAAAAGAUUCACUCUAAAGCUAAAGUAAGUCCCCUCUUCCUUUUAUGGGAGAGAAUAAGAAACUUUCUCUCCAUCUCGCCUAGACAUGAGUAGCUUUCACCCGAGACGAAAGCCCUUGGAAUAAAAUAUUAGCUGCCUCCAGGCUUUUACGGCAUUAGAGAAUUGAUUGGAAAAGCCCUUGACUUAUUUAGUAAAAGUCAGAGGUUUUUACCAAUUCAUUAAGUUAGAACGCUUGCCCAGUGAUGGAAGUAUUGGUUGGAAGCCCCCCAAAAGGGGGCCUACGCUUGCUCCUCCGUUUUGAAUCUCGAAACCGGUGUCAUUUCCUCUUCAUUGAUGCUAUACUGCAAUGUGGAUAAGGGUCCUUCAUCCAAUACUUCUUCAGUAGUCGGGGUUCCUAUCAACUAGCCGAGCGGGGAGUGGGGAAGGGUAUAUGGCUGACCCAGGCAGCGAAGGCUUCCACAAGAAGCCAGCCACAGCAUACCCUAGAACAAGCGCAUCGAAGUGGUCAGAGGAGAGGACCUUAGGAGGCAGACUCAUCGCCCUGGGGCAGAGAACUAGCAUAAAGCCAUAACUCUCUGGGCGUCAAAUGCAACCCAUGCCCAACAUCCAAUCAGCUACAUCACACUCUUCUGAGUGGAAAAGGUUCGAGUGAAAGCCAGCUGCAUGAAGUACAUCAUAUGUCCGCGGGUAUGAAAGGGUCAUACCAUUCAUGCACAAGAUUCGUCACCCACACUUGCUUACCUAUAGAAAAAUAACAUUUAAUCCUUCAUACUGAGCAUUCAUGUCCAUCACGGAGAGUUCCAUGAUACAUAAAGAUCCAUCUGACGAGCUAGCAGCACCGGAGCCUCGUUCAGUAUGAAGUUUCAUGCAAGCCUAUGUCCAUCUCGUGUACCGGAAGAGGGAAAGCAACCCGCGACAUUAGAUACUUGAAUAGUUUUAUACACUCCGAGUUGUUGCGAUUGCCUUCCUUCUCCCUUCAUUCCACA
Molecule: long non-coding RNA, 1174 nt
Filed under: Elaeis guineensis (African oil palm)
Lineage: Eukaryota; Viridiplantae; Streptophyta; Magnoliopsida; Arecales; Arecaceae
Description: long non-coding RNA (EGUI_LNC072356)
Source: RNAcentral